RNAcentral lists this ribosomal RNA (253 nucleotides) under uncultured bacterium. RNAcentral's name for it is "partial 16S ribosomal RNA". It matches the Rfam family "Bacterial small subunit ribosomal RNA", at positions 524 to 776 of the family's 1533-position model. The record is from RNAcentral.
UACAGAGGGUGCGAGCGUUGUCCGGAAUUACUGGGCGUAAAGGGCGCGUAGGCGGCUCGAUAGGUCGGGGGUGAAAUUCCGUGGCUCAACCACGGGACUGCCUUCGAGACUGUCAGGCUGGAGCACGGUAGAGGCAGAUGGAAUUCCCGGUGUAGCGGUGGAAUGCGUAGAGAUCGGGAAGAACACCAGUGGCGAAGGCGGUCUGCUGGGCCGUUGCUGACGCUGAUGCGCGACAGCGUGGGGAGCAAACAGG